GGUGAACGCUGGCGGCGUGCCUAAUACAUGCAAGUCGAGCGAACAGACGAGGAGCUUGCUCCUCUGAUGUUAGCGGCGGACGGGUGAGUAACACGUGGAUAACCUACCUAUAAGACUGGGAUAACUUCGGGAAACCGGAGCUAAUACCGGAUAACAUGUUGAACCGCAUGGUUCAACAGUGAAAGACGGUCUUGCUGUCACUUAUAGAUGGAUCCGCGCCGCAUUAGCUAGUUGGUAAGGUAACGGCUUACCAAGGCAACGAUGCGUAGCCGACCUGAGAGGGUGAUCGGCCACACUGGAACUGAGACACGGUCCAGACUCCUACGGGAGGCAGCAGUAGGGAAUCUUCCGCAAUGGGCGAAAGCCUGACGGAGCAACGCCGCGUGAGUGAAGAAGGUCUUCGGAUCGUAAAACUCUGUUAUUAGGGAAGAACAAAUGUGUAAGUAACUAUGCACGUCUUGACGGUACCUAAUCAGAAAGCCACGGCUAACUACGUG
This 497-nucleotide ribosomal RNA is filed under the name uncultured bacterium. Its description in RNAcentral is "partial 16S ribosomal RNA". It matches the Rfam family "Bacterial small subunit ribosomal RNA", at positions 28 to 507 of the family's 1533-position model. The record is from RNAcentral.